Oncorhynchus nerka (sockeye salmon) is the source of this 1697-nucleotide long non-coding RNA. RefSeq lists it as uncharacterized. The record is from RefSeq and is a predicted model, not a curated record. Lineage: Eukaryota; Metazoa; Chordata; Actinopteri; Salmoniformes; Salmonidae. The transcript is spliced from 3 exons.
GCCUAGUUGGGAUAGCUGUCACUGCUGCCCCAGUGUCUAGUUUAAAUGACACAACCUCCCCAUUGAGUUUAAUGUCUGAAUGCCAGCCAGUAUUGUUUCCCUUUACUUCUCCCAGAAAGAUGCUGUCCUGCUGUACCUCCUCUGAAGCCUCAUGCAUUUGCUUUAAUUGACAGACAUCUGAAAAGUGUCCUCUCCUGUGACAUUUCCUGCAUUCCGUAUCCUUUGCUGGGCAAUCUUUCCCACAUUUGCGACAAACAUUUGAACUAGCUACUGGUGCUGUCUGUGAUUGUUUUCUCCACGUCUGUCUCUGUUCUGUGUUCCCCUCCGUUUUUUUUUAGCUCUGUAUGAAAAUGCAUGUAUUUCCUCACUCUCUUCGUUCUGCAAGGAGCUGCUGUCGCGCAGUAUCGUCUGCGGUCUUUUUACUGUCUCACUCUGCCUAACCUGGUUUACAGCUUUGGACAAGGUUGCUGCCAUCAUGACUCUACCUUUUGACGUGGUGAAGACACGAAGACAGAUCCAACUGGGAGAGAUGGAGACACUGGGAGUCCCUGUGAAGAAUCCAGUGGCGUGCCGUGGGCCUGGGCCUUCAGUGAGGUCCUACACAGUCCCACCCGAAUUAAUCCACCUCUUAUUACCAUCAUUAUGAUGCCAUGGCUCUAGACACUAUACAUUUAGACAGAAACACAGUAUAAAACCAGGCGUUGCGUCACCUUGAAAUUGACAUUUUUAUUCAUAGAAUUGCAGGGGAAAGAGUACAAUACCUUUUCAUUGUGCAGCUCCCGUUGCCCUGCACGCUUGUUCAUUGAGCUGUAGAUCCACUCGGGUGUCCCCAAAAGUUUUCAAAAGCACCAUUGCUUGUAAGUGCCCAGCCGUGUCUCAUUGCUGCCUUGGUUAGACAACUCAAGUUGGCAAAGCCAGUGUGGCUCCAAACACCAAAUCUAUCACUUGCAAAUAAUAGGCCUUCCCAGCAGUACAGUUUGCAGCCAUUGAUAGCGCUCGUAGUUGGAACUUUGAAAGUGGCGAACGAACCCCUUUCCCGCCUGUGACAGGCUUUGUAGCGUCGGCGUCGGGCGACCUCUCCUGACAAUGUCUAACUUUUCUUGAAAAGUUUGUCUUGAGAAUGGCGUUAUAAUUAUAUCCUCGACCAAAUCGAUAUCUUCUCCUCCUUCCGCCAUUGUGGGUUAAAAAAAACAGCUUAGUAGUACACAAAUGAAUUAGUUUAUCAAAUUCAGUUUCCUAGUUCUGAGGUUUGCAUAGAACUGCCCAUAUAGGACCUGCCUCUCAAUAUUGGUAAUCCAAUCAAAAGACAUGCACGCACUACGCCGGCUAGCUGGCUCCUGUGUAACACUGGAGCCAGCCAGCAGGCGUACAAUAGCCAACUCUAAAGCUGAUUAGUUUACACUAAAUUUUCAUUUCCAUUCACUUUAAGCUACAAGUGCCCACACUGUUGAUUCUGAAGGCCUGAGGGCAGAUUUUAGACCCCUGGCAACACAUGAUGGCAAAUAUGAUUGGAUAAAAGAUCUAACAUCUAACAAAGUCCUGUCUCAGCCUCCAGUAUUUAUGCUGCAGUAGUUUAUGUGUCGGGGGGCUAGGGUCAGUUUGUUAUAUCUGGAGUACUUCUCCUGUCCUAUUCGGUGUCCUGUGUGAAUCUAAGUGUGCAUUCUCUAAUUCUCUCCUUCUCUCUUUCUUUCUCUCUC